GUCUAUGGACUCGACUCUUGCACAUCUACGUCUUAGGUUUGCGCCAAUUCGUGGUAAGCUAGGGUCAAUGAGCUUAUAGGUGUUAUAAAGACUCGCUGGUGUUUGUCUCCUUGAGGCAUACGGCUUAAUCAAAACUCUCAAAGUUUGACCUCAAAUCAGGUAGGAAUACCCGCUGAACUUAAGCAUAUCAAUAAGCGGAGGAAAAGAAACCAACCGGGAUUGCCUUAGUAACGGCGAGUGAAGCGGCAAAAGCUCAAAUUUGAAAUCUGGCGUCUUCGACGUCCGAGUUGUAAUUUGAAGAAGGCAACUUUGUAGCUGGUCCUUGUCUAUGUUCCUUGGAACAGGACGUCAUAGAGGGUGAGAAUCCCGUGUGGCGAGGAUCCCAGUUAUUUGUAAAGUGCUUUCGACGAGUCGAGUUGUUUGGGAAUGCAGCUCUAAGUGGGUGGUAAAUUCCAUCUAAAGCUAAAUAUUGGCGAGAGACCGAUAGCGAACAAGUACAGUGAUGGAAAGAUGAAAAGAACUUUGAAAAGAGAGUGAAAAAGUACGUGAAAUUGUUGAAAGGGAAGGGCAUUUGAUCAGACAUGGCGUUUGCUUCGGCUUUCGCUGGGCCAGCAUCAGUUUUAGCGGUUGGAUAAAUCCUCGGGAAUGUGGCUCUGCUUCGGUAGAGUGUUAUAGCCCGUGGGAAUACAGCCAGCUGGGACUGAGGAUUGCGACUUUUGUCAAGGAUGCUGGCGUAAUGGUUAAAUGCCGCCCGUCUUGAAACACGGACCAAGGAGUCUAACGUCUAUGCGAGUGUUUGGGUGUAAAACCCG
Molecule: ribosomal RNA, 812 nt
Filed under: Kluyveromyces lactis
Lineage: Eukaryota; Fungi; Ascomycota; Saccharomycetes; Saccharomycetales; Saccharomycetaceae
Description: LSU rRNA
Rfam family: Eukaryotic large subunit ribosomal RNA (bases 146-812)
Source: RNAcentral